CUUCCACUAUUUUGUCCCACUCCCACUUGUUUUUUUUUCAUGCUUUUAAAACUCCCUUGUAAAUGAUGUAAAUGAUGACCCUGAGUGAUGUCAUGAUGGACACAAAAUGCUUUGAUCUGUCCUGAAUGAGUCUAAGCCCUUCAGUGAUUAAUUUUGAAACUUUGCAGGACUUGUGUUCAUUCAAUUCAGGGGGCUAUAAAUGGUGAGGUAGAACAUGUGUCCUGUGCAAAAGGGCGGCUCCAGCCCUCCAUCACAUACAUCCUUCAGUGUCCUGAGCCAAAACUCCUCCCCUGUAGUGCAGGUGUUUUGAAUAAGUUGUAAUUCUUGCUGUUCCCCUCAGCCUGGUGGCAGACUUAUCCUAAUGAAGAUGUGCUGUGUGUCAUUCACAGAGCUGUUGGGCUAGCUCGGGAUAAAAUUUUAAGUGGAAGGAAUGCAUUCAUUGGAAUCUAAGUUUUUUAAAAUAUAAUUUUAUUUAGUAAAAUAAAAUAACUCUGAGACUUCCCCUCCUUGGAAUUACACCUGUGCUUGUUCCCUGGGAAAUGCUGCCCUUCCUGGCUGUGGAUGGAUCCAAAACCUGCUGUGGUUUCCUAUGCUGUGUCCUGGAGCACCUGGAGCACCAUAACACUGAGCAACUCUUUUACAGAGAAGGUGAACCUGUGAAACAUCUGUGUCCUCAGGUGAAUCAGGACACCAAGUGUACAGAUGGAAUAAACCUUGCACGGACACCAGCCUUCGUGGCUCCCCUGUGCAGCUCCAGUGCUCUCAUGCCAGGCCUCCAGAUGUACAACAGGCAGCCAGCCUGCUGUGCCCAGCCCAGGACAGUCACUGAAACAUCAGGUACCGUGAAAAAACUGCAGGCAGCCUCUUUAAACCACGCAGAGCAGAAUGUCUUAAACCAAGCAGCAAAUAACUGCUUUAUUAACCAAACAGUGCACACUAGAUGGCAUACCACUCCUUACCUACUGCUAGCCCUGCUGUGCUAUAUCACUAUUAUUAUACUCGAGUUAAGACAACAUCCAGAUUUGCAUGGUAUUUCUCACACUUCUGUGGGUCCAUGCCAGGCAAACACAGAUGCAAAAUCACCAUUCAGCCUGCCAGAGGUGACAAAUCUCUGCUGAAUCAAUGGGAGAUGCGGCGUGUUGUCCUGAGCUCUAUCUCCCCCCUUCUUGAUGUCAUGUAAGAUGAUCAAAUCUCAUCUGCAGAGAAUCAUUUUCUCCUUCCCUUGUUGUUUUAAAGGUGCAAUUCUUGAUGCAAAGCUGCUGGCAAAAAGGAGAUGUCAGGACCAAGAGAUAGCAGUUGUGGGAAGAGACGACAGGGCCCUGCUGUGGGAAGAUGCCUUGCAAUACUUUAAUUUUAGCCGACCAAUCUUGUUA
Molecule: long non-coding RNA, 1373 nt
Filed under: Anas platyrhynchos platyrhynchos (common mallard)
Lineage: Eukaryota; Metazoa; Chordata; Aves; Anseriformes; Anatidae
Description: lncRNA (ENSAPLG00000025108.1)
Source: RNAcentral